This 777-nucleotide ribosomal RNA is filed under the name Bacillus amyloliquefaciens. RNAcentral's name for it is "bacterial SSU rRNA". It matches the Rfam family "Bacterial small subunit ribosomal RNA", at positions 57 to 817 of the family's 1533-position model. Lineage: Bacteria; Bacillati; Bacillota; Bacilli; Caryophanales; Bacillaceae. The record is from RNAcentral.
GCAGUCGAGCGGACAGAUGGGAGCUUGCUCCCUGAUGUUAGCGGCGGACGGGUGAGUAACACGUGGGUAACCUGCCUGUAAGACUGGGAUAACUCCGGGAAACCGGGGCUAAUACCGGAUGGUUGUUUGAACCGCAUGGUUCAGACAUAAAAGGUGGCUUCGGCUACCACUUACAGAUGGACCCGCGGCGCAUUAGCUAGUUGGUGAGGUAACGGCUCACCAAGGCGACGAUGCGUAGCCGACCUGAGAGGGUGAUCGGCCACACUGGGACUGAGACACGGCCCAGACUCCUACGGGAGGCAGCAGUAGGGAAUCUUCCGCAAUGGACGAAAGUCUGACGGAGCAACGCCGCGUGAGUGAUGAAGGUUUUCGGAUCGUAAAGCUCUGUUGUUAGGGAAGAACAAGUGCCGUUCAAAUAGGGCGGCACCUUGACGGUACCUAACCAGAAAGCCACGGCUAACUACGUGCCAGCAGCCGCGGUAAUACGUAGGUGGCAAGCGUUGUCCGGAAUUAUUGGGCGUAAAGGGCUCGCAGGCGGUUUCUUAAGUCUGAUGUGAAAGCCCCCGGCUCAACCGGGGAGGGUCAUUGGAAACUGGGGAACUUGAGUGCAGAAGAGGAGAGUGGAAUUCCACGUGUAGCGGUGAAAUGCGUAGAGAUGUGGAGGAACACCAGUGGCGAAGGCGACUCUCUGGUCUGUAACUGACGCUGAGGAGCGAAAGCGUGGGGAGCGAACAGGAUUAGAUACCCUGGUAGUCCACGCCGUAAACGAUGAGUGCU